Molecule: ribosomal RNA, 233 nt
Filed under: uncultured bacterium
Lineage: Bacteria
Description: partial 16S ribosomal RNA
Rfam family: Bacterial small subunit ribosomal RNA
Source: RNAcentral
CGGGACGGGUGAGUAAUGUCUGGGAAACUGCCUGAUGGAGGGGGAUAACUACUGGAAACGGUAGCUAAUACCGCAUAACGUCGCAAGACCAAAGAGGGGGACCUUCGGGCCUCUCGCCAUCGGAUGUGCCCAGAUGGGAUUAGCUAGUAGGUGGGGUAACGGCUCACCUAGGCGACGAUCCCUAGCUGGUCUGAGAGGAUGGCCAGCCACACUGGAACUGAGACACGGUCCAG